RNAcentral lists this ribosomal RNA (507 nucleotides) under uncultured bacterium. Its description in RNAcentral is "bacterial SSU rRNA". It matches the Rfam family "Bacterial small subunit ribosomal RNA", at positions 23 to 518 of the family's 1533-position model. The record is from RNAcentral.
CUCAGGAUGAACGCGUAGCGGCAGGCCUAACACAUGCAAGUCGAGGGGCAGUCACGGGAGUAGCAAUACAACUGGUGGCGACCGGCGCACGGGUGAGUAACGCGUAUGCAACCUACCUAUCAGAGGGGAAUAACCCGGCGAAAGUCGGACUAAUACCGCAUAAAACAGGGGCACCGCAUGGUGAUAUUUGUUAAGAAAUUCGCUGAUAGAUGGGCAUGCGUUCCAUUAGGUAGUUGGUGAGGUAACGGCUCACCAAGCCGACGAUGGAUAGGGGAACUGAGAGGUUGGUCCCCCACACUGGUACUGAGACACGGACCAGACUCCUACGGGAGGCAGCAGUGAGGAAUAUUGGUCAAUGGGCGGGAGCCUGAACCAGCCAAGUCGCGUGAAGGAAAAGAAGGAUCUAUGGUUCGUAAACUUCUUUUGCAGGGGAAUAAGGUGCAGGACGUGUCCUGUUUUGUAUGUACCCUGAGAAUAAGGAUCGGCUAACUCCGUGCCAGCAGCAGC